GAUGAACGCUGGCGGCGUGCCUAAUACAUGCAAGUCGAGCGAACAGAUAAGGAGCUUGCUCCUUUGACGUUGGCGGCGGACGGGUGAGUAACACGUGGGUAACCUACCUAUAAGACUGGAAUAACUCCGGGAAACCGGGGCUAAUGCCGGAUAACAUUUAGAACCGCAUGGUUCUAAAGUGAAAGAUGGUUUUGCUAUCACUUAUAGAUGGACCCGCGCCGUAUUAGCUAGUUGGUAAGGUAACGGCUUACCAAGGCAACGAUACGUAGCCGACCCGAGAGGGUGAUCGGCCACACUGGAACUGAGACACGGUCCAGACUCCUACGGGAGGCAGCAGUAGGGAAUCUUCCGCAAUGGGCGAAAGCCUGACGGAGCAACGCCGCGUGAGUGAUGAAGGUCUUCGGAUCGUAAAACUCUGUUAUUAGGGAAGAACAAAUGUGUAAGUAACUGUGCACGUCUUGACGGUACCUAAUCAGAAAGCCACGGCUAACUACGUG
Molecule: ribosomal RNA, 497 nt
Filed under: uncultured bacterium
Lineage: Bacteria
Description: partial 16S ribosomal RNA
Rfam family: Bacterial small subunit ribosomal RNA
Source: RNAcentral